This 331-nucleotide ribosomal RNA is filed under the name Carronella pellucida. RNAcentral describes it as "eukaryotic LSU rRNA". It matches the Rfam family "Eukaryotic large subunit ribosomal RNA", at positions 42 to 364 of the family's 3401-position model. The record is from RNAcentral. Lineage: Eukaryota; Metazoa; Mollusca; Gastropoda; Nudibranchia; Flabellinidae.
AUAACUAAGCGGAGGAAAAGAAACCAACCGGGAUUCCCCCAGUAACGGCGAGUGAAGCGGGAUAAGCCCAGCGCUGAAUCCGUCGGCCUUUCGGUCCGACCGGAACUGUAGCGUGCGAGACGUGGCCAGUCCAUCGGAUAGACGUCCGAGUCCCCCCGAGCGGGGCCCAUCCCAUAGCGGGUGCCAGGCCUCUGCAGGCGUCUAACUGUUGGGCCGCUACCGUCUCUGGAGUCGGGUUGUUUGGGAAUGCAGCCCGAAGCGGGAGGUAAACUCCUCCUAAGGCUAAAUACCGGCGCGAGUCCGAUAGCGAACAAGUACCGCGAGGGAAAGU